Molecule: transfer RNA, 68 nt
Filed under: Iphiteon panicea
Lineage: Eukaryota; Metazoa; Porifera; Hexactinellida; Hexactinosida; Dactylocalycidae
Description: tRNA-Pro
Source: RNAcentral
CUAAAGAUAGAUUAAACAAAUCACUUCUCCCGGGAAGAAGCCAUACAAGCAACACUCUGUUCUUUACC